AUCUAUAAUAUCGUCGAUAACUCUGUCCAUCUCGCUUCCAUCAUCGCUCAAAGCUUCCACGCAUCUACUCAAGAGAAACGCUGUCGUUUCAGCCUCUGGAAGCAACCGCAAACACGAACCAAAAACAAUCUGCGCCAGCUCCCGGUUAACAACAAUCACUCGACGGAAGUACUUUUCCGUUAUCUGCCUCAAGUUCUCGUCGCGUUUAUUGUCUGUCAUCCCCAGCACCUCGGCUGCGGUUCUCAGCGCCGCCACGUUGAACGGCGUUAACACUACGUGGGUACCGUAGCAGAAGUCUGCAACAAGGGCGAACGUUUCAGCCGUUAUGUUUAGCGGGAGCGUUAUUUCGGAGAGUUCCGUUAGUUGACGUUUCAAAUACGUGCUCCUCGAUACUAGCGGUUCCUUAUGCAGAUGAAAGCAGGUUCCCUGGACAUAUAUCAAGACAUCUGUUUGCUUCCCUGUUGCCUGGGACCAGGACUCAACUCUAGAAUGGAGAGGUAUGGGAGGAGAAGAAAUGGAUGGAGAGGCAGAAGAACAUUCAGAAUCUUCCUCAUAGAUGGUGUCUACAAGCCCCAAUUCUUUCCAGCCCCUCAUCUUCUGGUGCCUCUUCAAUAAGGAGAUAGCAGUUUUGGUUUUCAAUUUUCAAGGUGGUUUGAAUGCUUGGUGGUGUAAAUGGC
RNAcentral lists this unclassified non-coding RNA (677 nucleotides) under Hevea brasiliensis (rubber tree). Lineage: Eukaryota; Viridiplantae; Streptophyta; Magnoliopsida; Malpighiales; Euphorbiaceae. The record is from RNAcentral.